This 501-nucleotide ribosomal RNA is filed under the name uncultured bacterium. Its description in RNAcentral is "bacterial SSU rRNA". It matches the Rfam family "Bacterial small subunit ribosomal RNA", at positions 8 to 507 of the family's 1533-position model. The record is from RNAcentral.
AGAGUUUGAUCCUGGCUCAGAUUGAACGCUGGCGGUAUGCUUAACACAUGCAAGUCGAACGGUAACAGGCCUUCGGGCGCUGACGAGUGGCGGACGGGUGAGUAACGCGUAGGAAUCUGCCUCAUAGUGGGGGACAACGUGGGGAAACUCACGCUAAUACCGCAUACGCCCUACGGGGGAAAGCGGGGGAUCUUCGGACCUCGCGCUAUGAGAUGAGCCUGCGUUAGAUUAGCUAGUUGGUAGGGUAAAGGCCUACCAAGGCGACGAUCUAUAGCUGGUCUGAGAGGACGAUCAGCCACACUGGGACUGAGACACGGCCCAGACUCCUACGGGAGGCAGCAGUGGGGAAUAUUGGACAAUGGGCGCAAGCCUGAUCCAGCAAUACCGCGUGUGUGAAGAAGGCCUUAGGGUUGUAAAGCACUUUCAAUUGGGAGGAAAACCUGCCGGUCAAUACCCGGCAGCUUGACAUUACCUUUAGAAGAAGCACCGGCUAACUCCGUG